Long non-coding RNA from Hypanus sabinus (Atlantic stingray), 436 nucleotides. RefSeq lists it as uncharacterized. The transcript is spliced from 3 exons. The record is from RefSeq and is a predicted model, not a curated record. NCBI's taxonomy places the organism in Eukaryota, Metazoa, Chordata, Chondrichthyes, Myliobatiformes, Dasyatidae.
AAGGGAGAUGCCUCACUACUAGAAUGAACACAGCAGCUGUGAGAUGAGUGAGCCCAGCAGCAAUGGAAAUGUCGUCCUUAGCUAGAAACAUAAAGUAAUUAAGAAGACCGAAACAACAAUCCAUUCUCGAUCAAUGGACUUGGUCGACUGCUCAUUACCAGUGACACAGGAACUCAAGCCCUGGGAAAAUCUGAUCGGCUUUUUCACUGUCUGGAUCAGCAGCAAUUGGAUAUUGGAUGGCAUUGUGCCAAAUGCCAGCUCGCUAAAUGUCCCAGACACACUUUGCAGGUGCCUUGUCUUCUGUCACUGGUGUUAAUAAUUUUUCAAAAUAUCAGAUAGAAAUGGCAGAUGUUCAACCCAGAUAAGUGUGAAGUUGUUCAUUUCAGUAUGUCAAAUUUGAAGACAGAAUAUAAUAUUACUUGUAAGACAUUUGGCA